RNAcentral lists this ribosomal RNA (24 nucleotides) under Hirsutella rhossiliensis. Its description in RNAcentral is "partial 28S ribosomal RNA". Lineage: Eukaryota; Fungi; Ascomycota; Sordariomycetes; Hypocreales; Ophiocordycipitaceae. The record is from RNAcentral.
GUUGACUCGGAUCAGGUAGGGAUA